GAAAAAAGAAAAGAAACCAAUCAGAAGAACAUGAUGCUGGAAAAACUCUCUGUUCAAGAGACCAGGAUUAGACAAUAGAACACAACAAAUCUUGACCAGAUGCAUAGAUUUGUACGGGAGGGGCAUAGAUGUUCUGACAUCGUCCUUAGAACCAGUGUUAAAGAAACUUGAUAUAGAGUUGAGUACGGCAAUGACUAAAGCGUUCGACUUGUUUUCGAGUUGUGAAUUUGAGUAUGAGUAUACACCGGAACCUCCGACUUGGUUGUCUCGUUAUCUUUGCUUACGUCCACUUCUGGUGCUCUCAAUGGGGACUGCAAAUCUCAUAGAGUGUAAAAGGGUCGCCGCUUGUAUUCCAUAAUGUCGAAAUAAUGAAAUGUAUUUCAAUUUGUAUUGA
This is a non-coding RNA of Momordica charantia (bitter melon), 394 nucleotides long. The record is from RefSeq and is a predicted model, not a curated record. Lineage: Eukaryota; Viridiplantae; Streptophyta; Magnoliopsida; Cucurbitales; Cucurbitaceae.